GUAUUGAUUGCGUGUGACCGCAAAAACAAAACAUUCUAGACUGUAUCGAAUUUUGUGUGAAAACGUGAGCCCUCCUGCAAAGGGGGGACCCGCGCGGUGAUGCACAAAGGGGUGAGAUGGAUUUUGUGCGAGAGCGCUCGGGCGUGCACGACCUUUGAAGGUCAGCGACAGCCCUCGCACCUCGGUUGUACGAUAAUGAUCCUUCCGCAGGUUCACCUACGGAAA
This 225-nucleotide unclassified non-coding RNA is filed under the name uncultured fungus. Its description in RNAcentral is "sequence contains ITS1". Lineage: Eukaryota; Fungi. The record is from RNAcentral.